Molecule: ribosomal RNA, 825 nt
Filed under: Triticum aestivum (bread wheat)
Lineage: Eukaryota; Viridiplantae; Streptophyta; Magnoliopsida; Poales; Poaceae
Description: partial small subunit ribosomal RNA
Source: RNAcentral
AUGAGCCAGCUUAGGCACCGCAACAUAGUCCAGCUCGUGGGCUGGUGCCGUCGUCGGAGAGGAGGACUGGCGCUCGUCUACGAGCUAGUGGACGGGGGCAGCCUCGACACCCAUCUCUACAAUCCCGACAGAUGCUUAACUUGGUUGGAGAGGUACAAUAUCGCGCUCGGCCUGGGCUCCGCCCUGCGGUACCUCCACACGGACUGCCACCAGUGCGUCGUGCACGGCGACAUCAAGCCCGCGAACGUGAUGCUCGACGCGUCAGGCAGCGCUAAGCUCGGCGACUUCGGGCUCGCGAGGCUCGUCGACCACGGAGCCGAGCCACGGACGACGCAGGUCGUCGCGGGGACCCUCGGGUACAUCGACCCAGAGUUCGUCAGCAGCCGCCGGCCGAGCGCCGAGUCCGACGUGUACAGCUUCGGCGUCGUGCUCCUCGAGAUCGCCUGUGGCAGGCGGCCCGCGUCGAGGAGAACCGGCCAGGCCUCGGCGGCGCUGCUGGCCUCGGUCCGCGACUUGUACCACCGGAACCUGAUCGUCGACGCGGCGGACCGGAGGCUGGAUGACGAGUUUGACAAGCUGCAGAUGGAGCGUCUGCUCGUGACGGGGCUUUGGUGCGUGCACCACGACCCGUUGCAGCGGCCGUCCGUUACGCAGGCUAUGGAUGUGCUACGGUCCGAAGACGGCAGGUUGCCGGUGCUUGUAGCGAUGCCUGGUUCCGGGGAGAUUCGAUCGUUGGAGGGGCAGGCUUAUGGCGAUGUGUCUGACGAGAACUCUGAUUACUUGAAUGAAUCAACUGAAACUGCGUACCUUACUAGCGAGGAGUGA